UACGUAGGGGGCAAGCGUCGUCCGGAUUUAUUGGGCGUAAAGAGCGUGUAGGCGGCCAGACAGGUCCGUUGUGAAAACUCGAGGCUCAACCUCGAGACGCCGAUGGAAACCGUCUGGCUAGAGUCCGGAAGAGGAGAGUGGAAUUCCUGGUGUAGCGGUGAAAUGCGCAGAUAUCAGGAAGAACACCCGUGGCUAAGGCGGCUCUCUAGUACGGUACUGACGCUGAGACGCGAAAGCGUGGGGAGCGAACAGG
RNAcentral lists this ribosomal RNA (253 nucleotides) under uncultured bacterium. Its description in RNAcentral is "partial 16S ribosomal RNA". It matches the Rfam family "Bacterial small subunit ribosomal RNA", at positions 524 to 776 of the family's 1533-position model. The record is from RNAcentral.